Molecule: RNA transcript, 1601 nt
Organism: Nelumbo nucifera (sacred lotus)
Lineage: Eukaryota; Viridiplantae; Streptophyta; Magnoliopsida; Proteales; Nelumbonaceae
Gene name: serine/arginine-rich-splicing factor SR34-like
Source: RefSeq, a predicted model, not a curated record
UAGGGGCGUUCUUGUCGAGACCAUCGAUUCUAUCCGUCCAACCGGUGUUCCUCGUCUCUGUAAGCGUUGUCUCCCGCUAAAGAAUGGUCUCAGGUAGAAUGAGUGGUCAUUUGAGUAGAACCAUUUACGUUGGCAACCUCCCUGGAGAUAUUCGUGAGAGAGAAAUAGAAGAUCUUUUUUAUAAGUAUGGGCCUAUUGUUGAUAUUGACUUGAAGAUCCCGCCAAGGCCACCAGGUUAUGCCUUUGUUGAGUUUGAAGAUUCUCGAGAUGCUGAAGAUGCCAUUCGUAGUCGUGACGGGUAUAACUUUGAUGGGCAUCGGUUAAGGGUAGAACUGGCACAUGGUGGGCGUGGCCAUUCUUCAACAAUAGAUCGUCGUAGUAGUCAUGGCAGCGGUGGCAGCCGUGGAGGAGUCUCUAGGCGUUCUGAAUACCGUGUGUUAGUCACAGGUUUACCUUCUUCUGCUUCAUGGCAAGACUUAAAGGAUCACAUGCGUCGAGCUGGGGACGUUUGCUUCUCUCAAGUGUUCCGUGAUGGUGGUGGUACGACUGGGAUUGUGGAUUACACAAACUAUGAAGACAUGAAAUAUGCUAUUAGGAAGCUAGAUGACUCUGAGUUUCGGAAUGCAUUUUCCCGUGCAUAUAUACGAGUGAAGGAGUACGACUCAAGGCGGAGCUUAUCUAGGAGCCAUAGUCGUAGCCGGUCCCACUCAAGAACUAAAAGUAAAAGCCCUAGUCGCAGUCGCAGUUAUAGCAGAAGCCGGAGCCAAAGUAAAUCCCCAAAGGCCAAGUCUUCUCGUCGUUCUUUGUCUAGAUCUCGAUCAAGGUCUGUUUCUUCUCGCUCCCAUUCAGGGUCAAGACCACGCUCUUUGUCAAGAUAUGGCUUUAUGCGGCGAUUUGGGGAUUGCAUAUUAGGAACUUGAUUGGAUAUUGGUGCAAAUGCCUGUAACUCUUUUGGUUGUGGAGCACGCCCAUGGGAGCUAGAGCUAGAGUGGGGAAGGAGAGGAUGAGCUGCGAUAUUAAAGCUGGAUUACCGUGAACUAAAUGCUAUUGGGACCAACCACCAAUCAGCGGUAGAAACAAAUCCAAAAUCACUUUGUGGUCCAACAUCGCCAUGCUUGUAGGAGUUGCGCUCAGAGUCCUCUUUGGAUUUUGGUGGUACAAAUGGGAAUGAUGUUCCUAUCCUAACCUCUAUAUCUUAACUAUGUUAUUGUGCCAUUAUCCAGAUUGCCAAUAUAUCAUUGUGCUUUCUAUUUCGACAUGUUUCUUCAUUGGGUCAAUGAUUAUCAGUGACUUGCCGGGUUCCUCUUUGGUGGGAAGGGAGUCUUGAUGACUUGUGCUCUCUUUGUUGAACCAUGCUAAAGUUUUAUGGGUUUUUUUUUCUUCUUUUUCCUUUUGAAUAUGGUUGCUCUGACGUGGAAGAGGCGUCCUGGCUUUUGGAUCAAAGGUGUUAAAAGAACGUUGUGGAUAUUGAAUUGGGUUAUUUCUGGAACUUUUGCAGAUCUCCAUCAAGAUCGAAAUCUCCAUUACCCUCUUCUCGUAGCAAACGUGUGAGCAAAAGCCCAAAGAAGCAGAAGAGCCUUAGUCAUAGCCGGAGCCCAAGC